Molecule: ribosomal RNA, 468 nt
Filed under: uncultured bacterium
Lineage: Bacteria
Description: partial 16S ribosomal RNA
Rfam family: Bacterial small subunit ribosomal RNA
Source: RNAcentral
GACGAACGCUGGCGGCGUGCUUAACACAUGCAAGUCGAACGGAAAGGCCCUGCUUUUGUGGGGUGCUCGAGUGGCGAACGGGUGAGUAACACGUGAGUAACCUGCCCUUGACUUUGGGAUAACUUCAGGAAACUGGGGCUAAUACCGGAUAGGAGCUCCUGCUGCAUGGUGGGGGUUGGAAAGUUUCGGCGGUUGGGGAUGGACUCGCGGCUUAUCAGCUUGUUGGUGGGGGAGUUGCUUACCAAGGCUUUGACGGGUCGCCGGCCUGAGAGGGUGAACGGCCACAUUGGGACUGAGAUACGGACCAGACUGCUACGGGAGGCAGCAGUGGGGAAUAUUGCACAAUGGGCGGAAGCCUGAUGCAGCAACGCCGCGUGCGGGAUGACGGCCUUCGGGUUGUAAACCGCUUUCGCCUGUGACGAAGCGUGAGUGACGGUAAUGGGUAAAGAAGCACCGGCUAACUACGUG